GUCUACGGCCGCGCCACCUUGAACAAGCCCGAUGUCUGAUCGCGUGAAGCUAAGCAGGGUCAGGCCUGGUUAGUACUUGGAUGGGAGACCACCUGGGAAGCCCAGGUGCUGCAGGUG
This 117-nucleotide ribosomal RNA is filed under the name Pteropus alecto (black flying fox). The record is from RNAcentral. Lineage: Eukaryota; Metazoa; Chordata; Mammalia; Chiroptera; Pteropodidae.